Molecule: ribosomal RNA, 492 nt
Filed under: uncultured bacterium
Lineage: Bacteria
Description: partial 16S ribosomal RNA
Rfam family: Bacterial small subunit ribosomal RNA
Source: RNAcentral
AUUGAACGCUGGCGGCAUGCCUAACACAUGCAAGUCGAACGGCAGCACAGUAAUAGCUUGCGCGUACGGGGGCCGAGUGGCGAGCGGUUGAGGAAUACAUCGCAAUAUACGGUGUCGUGGGGGAUAAAGGAGGGGAACAUACGCCAAUACCGCAUACGACGUACGGGGGAAAGCACAGGAUCUUGUGCCCUUGCGCGGGUGAAUGACCCGAUAUCUGAUUGGCUAGUUGGAGGGGUAAAGGCCCACCAAGGCGACGAUGCGUAGCUGGUCUGAGAGGAUGAUCAGCCACACUGGAACUGAGACACGGUCCAGACUCCUACGGGAGGCAGCAGUGGGGAAUAUUGGACAAUGGGCGCAAGCCUGAUCCAGCAAUACCGCGUGAGUGAAGAAGGCCUUCGGGUUGUAAAGCCCUUUUGUUAGGAAAGAAAGGCAGCAGGUUAAUACCCCGCUGUAAUGACGGUACCUAAAGAAUAAGCACCGGCUAACUUCGUG